CCUGAGAGGCACGUAAGAGGGGCUGAGCCAAAGCUGGCAAUCCCUUCCCUUUUAAUGGUCUUUUGCUUCCUGUGGAAAAGACUAGCACUCCUCCCUCAGAGGCCCCCUUGGCUUUGCUGCCUUCCCCAGUGGGAUCCCUCCAAGGACUCAAAGCUGAAACAGCAGGAAUGUGGGAGACUUGUUGGUUUUGUCUCCGCAGCAGAACUCCCUCACAAUUGGUGGAACUCCUUUAAAAAAUGGAGAAGACUGGAUGCCUUCCGGUGGGCAUCAUUUUACUGUUCCUACAAGGUUGCAAUUCUGUGUGAAGAUUCUGAGGAUUAACCAAUCAUUUGGAGCAGGUUUUACUUUCCAUGAUAGGGGCUGAUCAGAGUUCCAUGUCAACAACAUCUGGAGAGCCACAAGAUCCCUGCCCCAUUUCAGUGUUUGGGGAUCUGUUCUGUAUAUGAUGAUUAUUCUCUAAGUUGUACUAUGCCACUACUCUCACAUUCCAUAUAGCCUUUUGUGGCAAACUAGGUUUUCUAGGUUUCACCUUCUUGCUAUCAUGUUCAGAUAUGA
Anolis sagrei ordinatus is the source of this 555-nucleotide long non-coding RNA. RefSeq lists it as uncharacterized. Lineage: Eukaryota; Metazoa; Chordata; Lepidosauria; Squamata; Anolidae. The record is from RefSeq and is a predicted model, not a curated record.